Molecule: ribosomal RNA, 579 nt
Filed under: uncultured fungus
Lineage: Eukaryota; Fungi
Description: SSU rRNA
Rfam family: Eukaryotic small subunit ribosomal RNA
Source: RNAcentral
AAUAAGGAUUGACAGAUUGAGAGCUCUUUCUUGAUUUUGUGGGUGGUGGUGCAUGGCCGUUCUUAGUUGGUGGAGUGAUUUGUCUGCUUAAUUGCGAUAACGAACGAGACCUUAACCUGCUAAAUAGCCCGGCUCGCUUUGGCGGGUCGCCGGCUUCUUAGAGGGACUAUCGGCUCAAGCCGAUGGAAGUUUGAGGCAAUAACAGGUCUGUGAUGCCCUUAGAUGUUCUGGGCCGCACGCGCGCUACACUGACAGAGCCAACGAGUUCAUCACCUUGUCCGAAAGGUCUGGGUAAUCUUGUUAAACUCUGUCGUGCUGGGGAUAUAGCAUUGCAAUUAUUGCUCUUCAACGAGGAAUGCCUACUAAGCGCAUGUCAUCAGCAUGCGUUGAUUACGUCCCUGCCCUUUGUACACACCGCCCGUCGCUACAACCGAUUGAAUGGCUNAGUGAGGCCUNCGGACUGGCCCAGGGAGGUCGGCAACGACCACCCAGGGCCGGAAAGUUGGUCAAACUNGGUCAUUUAGAGGAUGUAAAAGUCGUAGCAAGGUUUCCGUAGGUGAACCUGCGGAAGGAUCAUUA